RNAcentral lists this ribosomal RNA (846 nucleotides) under Streptomyces sp. Its description in RNAcentral is "bacterial SSU rRNA". It matches the Rfam family "Bacterial small subunit ribosomal RNA", at positions 74 to 934 of the family's 1533-position model. The record is from RNAcentral. Lineage: Bacteria; Bacillati; Actinomycetota; Actinomycetes; Kitasatosporales; Streptomycetaceae.
CCUCCUUCGGGAGGGGAUUAGUGAGCGAACGGGUGAGUAACACGUGGGCGAUCUGCCCUUCACUCUGGAACUAGCCCUGGAAACGGGGUCUAAUACCGGAUACGACACGGGGUCGCAUGACCUCCGUGUGGAAAGCUCCGGCGGUGAAGGAUGAGCCCGCGGCCUAUCAGCUUGUUGGUGGGGUGAUGGCCUACCAAGGCGACGACGGGUAGCCGGCCUGAGAGGGCGACCGGCCACACUGGGACUGAGACACGGCCCAGACUCCUACGGGAGGCAGCAGUGGGGAAUAUUGCACAAUGGGCGAAAGCCUGAUGCAGCGACGCCGCGUGAGGGAUGACGGCCUUCGGGUUGUAAACCUCUUUCAGCAGGGAAGAAGCGAGAGUGACGGUACCUGCAGAAGAAGCGCCGGCUAACUACGUGCCAGCAGCCGCGGUAAUACGUAGGGCGCAAGCGUUGUCCGGAAUUAUUGGGCGUAAAGAGCUCGUAGGCGGCUUGUCGCGUCGGAUGUGAAAGCCCGGGGCUUAACCCCGGGUCUGCAUUCGAUACGGGCAGGCUAGAGUUCGGUAGGGGAGAUCGGAAUUCCUGGUGUAGCGGUGAAAUGCGCAGAUAUCAGGAGGAACACCGGUGGCGAAGGCGGAUCUCUGGGCCGAUACUGACGCUGAGGAGCGAAAGCGUGGGGAGCGAACAGGAUUAGAUACCCUGGUAGUCCACGCCGUAAACGUUGGGAACUAGGUGUGGGCGACAUUCCACGUCGUCCGUGCCGCAGCUAACGCAUUAAGUUCCCCGCCUGGGAGUACGGCCGCAAGGCUAAAACUCAAAGGAAUUGACGGGGCCGCACAAGCAGCG